This 501-nucleotide ribosomal RNA is filed under the name Coniopteryx sp. EH-2004. Its description in RNAcentral is "partial 16S ribosomal RNA". It matches the Rfam family "Bacterial large subunit ribosomal RNA", at positions 1831 to 2597 of the family's 2925-position model. The record is from RNAcentral. Lineage: Eukaryota; Metazoa; Arthropoda; Insecta; Neuroptera; Coniopterygidae.
UUUUUGAAUUUUAUUUAAAGUCUGGCCUGCCCACUGAAUUUUUGAAGGGCCGCAGUAUUUUGACUGUGCUAAGGUAGCAUAAUCAUUUGUUUUUUAAUUGAAAACUGGAAUGAAGGGUUUGAUGAGGUAUAAACUGUCUCUAUAUAAACAAUUUAAUAAUUUAAAUUUUAAGUUAAAAUGCUUAAAUAAAAAUAAAAGACGAGAAGACCCUAUAGAUCUUUAUAUUUUAGUUUAAUUUAUUAUUUAUAAAAAAAUUAAUGUUAGGUAAAAGUAUUUAAUUGGGGUGAUUUAAAAAUUAAACAAACUUUUUAAUUAUGUAAUCUUUUUUUAAGAAUUAUUGAUCCAGUUUUAUUGAUUAAUAAAUUAAGUUACCUUAGGGAUAACAGCGUAAUUUUUUUAAAGAGUUCAUAUCGAUAAAAAAGAUUGCGACCUCGAUGUUGAAUUAAAGUAUAUCUUAGGAGUAGAAAAUUAAGAUUUUAGUCUGUUCGACUAUUUUACUUU